UUCUAUUGUGCCCGUUUUAUAGGUCUGGCGGCCCAGAGAAGUUAGCAAACAAAUUGAAAACCUGGGUCGGUUCACCCAAAGGCUUCUAAGAGAAAAGAACGGCUUCUGCAAGUGUGCUCUACCCUCCCCCACCCCACAGAGGGAGAUGCGGAUCAGGGAAUAAAGUGCUAGCAACGCCAGAGGCGCAAGGAAGAGGAGAGCCCACGGGGAAACAGGGCCACACCACCUGAAAGAACUCCUCUGGCCUUUGGAAGGGACUUCCCACCGAGAGCUGUUUCCAGGCAUACCACACUGAGCCUUCCGUGCACCGGGUCCCUGUGUAACUUCACUGUCGGGCGCCACAGAAAGCCUGCUCCGAAAAACCACCCUGUGAUUCGUGCUGAAUGAAUUCCUGGCAUACACUGUCAGAAGCGGUGGUGAGGGGGUGGAUUCUGACGAGGAAACUCUAAUGGAGGAGGCAGGGGAAAGACUGGAUCAGAUUUGGGAAGAUCAAAGGAUAGAGCGCCCCUGCCUUUGCCCUUAGGUGGCAGUUGCCUCCCAGCCUCUUUGUACCAGCUUGCUCUCCGGUUGCCGCCUGCCUUCCUUUGUUCCACCUCAGGGAUCAGAACCAGGGCAAUUGCCAGAUGCCCCGCAGCCUGACCUCCAGCCCACAGGCAUCCUUACUGCCUGCAAAGACCUCAACCAACUUCUGGGCUGUCCAGUCUUUCCUUUGCAAUAAACAUGUGCUUUCUUUAAAAAAAAAAA
This is a long non-coding RNA of Mesocricetus auratus (golden hamster), 744 nucleotides long. RefSeq lists it as uncharacterized. Lineage: Eukaryota; Metazoa; Chordata; Mammalia; Rodentia; Cricetidae. The record is from RefSeq and is a predicted model, not a curated record. The transcript is spliced from 4 exons.